CCAAACAGAGAUCAACUUGAUUUAGAAAGGCUAUCCAUUUUCCUGCAAUGGCCUGGGUUCUGCUUCUCUUCACAGUUUUCGUCUCCAUUGGUCUCAGUGUCCAGCAGCUACAGACCUUGAAGGACCCAGAAUUCGUGGCUCCGGGUGGGACGGUCACCAUGUCUUGCAGAUUCGAUAGUGGAAACAUUGGUGAUGGCAAUUACCCUGGGUGGGUGCAGAAGAAACCAGGGAGUAAACCCCAGACAGUGAUAUAUGCUACCAGUACCAGACCGUCUGAUGUCCCAGCCCGUUUCUCUGGUUCCAGGUCAGGGAACAUGAUGUCCCUGACCAUUACGGGGGCCCAGGUGGAAGAUGAAGCAGCUUAUUACUGUUAUGUGUGGACUGCGAGCCAGUGA
Elgaria multicarinata webbii is the source of this 395-nucleotide non-coding RNA. The record is from the annotation of a RefSeq genome assembly. Lineage: Eukaryota; Metazoa; Chordata; Lepidosauria; Squamata; Anguidae.